AGGGAAUCUUCCGCAAUGGACGAAAGUCUGACGGAGCAACGCCGCGUGAGUGAAGAAGGCCUUCGGAUCGUAAAGCUCUGUUGCCAGGGAAGAACGUCCGUUAGAGUAACUGCUAACGGAGUGACGGUGCCUGAGAAGAAAGCCCCGGCUAACUACGUGCCAGCAGCCGCGGUAAUACGUAGGGGGCGAGCGUUGUCCGGAAUUAUUGGGCGUAAAGCGCGCGCAGGCGGCUGUUAAGUCUGGUGUUUAAUCCUGGGGCUCAACCCCGGGUCGCACUGGAAACUGGACAGCUUGAGUGCAGAAGAGGAGAGUGGAAUUCCACGUGUAGCGGUGAAAUGCGUAGAGAUGUGGAGGAACACCAGUGGCGAAGGCGGCUCUCUGGUCUGUAACUGACGCUGAGGCGCGAAAGCGUGGGGAGCAAAC
Molecule: ribosomal RNA, 423 nt
Filed under: uncultured bacterium
Lineage: Bacteria
Description: bacterial SSU rRNA
Rfam family: Bacterial small subunit ribosomal RNA
Source: RNAcentral